This 98-nucleotide non-coding RNA is filed under the name Streptococcus gallolyticus. RNAcentral's name for it is "TPP sequence". It matches the Rfam family "TPP riboswitch aptamer (THI element)". Rfam says of the family: Vitamin B(1) in its active form thiamin pyrophosphate (TPP) is an essential coenzyme that is synthesised by coupling of pyrimidine and thiazole moieties in bacteria. The previously detected thiamin-regulatory element, thi box was extended, resulting in a new, highly conserved RNA secondary structure, the THI element, which is widely distributed in eubacteria and also occurs in some archaea. Analysis of operon structures identified a large number of new candidate thiamin-regulated genes, mostly transporters, in various prokaryotic organisms. Lineage: Bacteria; Bacillati; Bacillota; Bacilli; Lactobacillales; Streptococcaceae. The record is from RNAcentral.
AGAUUCACAAAGGAGUGCCUCUGGCUGAGAUCGCAUUUGCGAAAUCCUGAUAACCUGAUCUCGUUAAUACGAGCGUAGGGAUUGUGACAUGACCGUUU